Musa acuminata AAA Group (dessert banana) is the source of this 3012-nucleotide RNA transcript. It is a transcript of the gene named sorting nexin 2B-like, with no coding region annotated. The transcript is spliced from 8 exons. Lineage: Eukaryota; Viridiplantae; Streptophyta; Magnoliopsida; Zingiberales; Musaceae. The record is from RefSeq and is a predicted model, not a curated record.
GAGUCCUUAUCGUCACCGCCAGUGCAACUACCCCUCUUCAUUCGUAACUUCCCCUCCGAACGCUUCUUUAUAUCUCCUCUUUCCCUCCGAAUCCCGUCGAGAUUUAUCUCACCAAUUUGCUUCUUUGUUUCUCUUCUUGCAAAUAGACAAUCAAACAAUCAUGAUGGGUCUGGAGGCGUUCUUAGGGUUUGCCUCAAUCAGGGCGAGAAAAGAGAGGGAGAGCCUCGCCCGCUCCGACGCCGCCGCCUCAGACUGCCGCACCGCCAUACCCUCCUCCCUUCCCUCCGACGUAGAUCCCCUCCUCUUUCCCACUCCUCGCGGCGGUGACUCCCCCCCGCCGUCGUCCUCCUCCGUCCUCGAGCCGCCUUCCUACGCAGACGUUGUCUUCAGCCCCUUUGAAUCCAGCAAUGGCGCGUCCGAUCAGGGGCCCUUCCUUCGCCUCGAUGCCUCCCCCAGAUCUGCCCGCGCCGUCGCCUCCGAUUACCGCUGUAUCGCCGUAUCCGACCCGCAGACAGAGGUGGAGGCCUCGAACUCGCUCGUCCCACGCGGGACGACCUACGUCACCUACCUCAUUACCACCCGCGUCCGUCCGGGCUCCGAUGACGCCGGCCCCGAGUUCAGCGUCCGGCGGCGGUUCCGCGACGUUGUGACGCUCGCUGACCGGCUUUCUGAGGCAUACCGCGGCUUCUUCAUCCCGCCGCGGCCUGAUAAGAACCUGGUCGAUAGCCAGAUAAUGCAGAAGCACGAGUUUGUGGAGCACCGACGGUUGGCGCUCGAGAAGUACCUGCGGAGGCUCGCGGAGCACCCGGUUAUUGGGAAAAGUGAUGAGCUUAGGGUGUUCCUGCAGGAAAAGGGGAAGCUGCCGCUGCCAACGACGACCGACGUGGCUUCGAGGAUGAUGGAUGGGGCGGUACGGCUGCCGAAGCAGCUGUUCGGGGAGUGGGCGGCCGCACAAGUCGCGCCACAGGACAUCGUCCAGCCUGCGAAGGGCGGCAGGGAUUUGCUGAGGAUAUUUAAGGAAUUGAAGCAGGCCGUGGUCAAUGACUGGAGUGGAGUGAAGCCAUCGGUCGUGGAGGACAAGGAGUUUUUGGAGAGGAAGGAGAAGAUGCAGGACCUCGAAUGGCAGCUGACCCCCGCAUCACAGCAGCAGGCUGAAGCUCUUAUUAGAUCACAACAAGAUGUCAGUGAAAUAAUGGGAGGGUUGGGUUUGACCUUCAUCAAACUGAUAAAGUUUGAGACUGAGGAGAGUGUAUACCGCUCGCAGAGGAUACGAGUUGCUGAUACCAAAAAUGUCGCAACUGCUGCAGUAAAAGCAAGCAGAUUAUAUCAAGAAUUGAAUGCUCAAACUGUCAAACAUCUGGACACACUGCAUGAGUAUCUAGGACUAACGGUAGCUGCUCGCAGUGCAUUCUCAGACAGAACUAGCACUCUGUUGACUGUGCAAACACUAAUGUCGGAUUUAACAACCUUGAAUACAAGGGUUGAGAAACUUGAAGCUGCAUCCUCAAAGAUAUUUGGUGGUGACAGAUCAAGACUCCGUAAAGUGGAUGAACUAAGAGAAACAAUAAGAGUCACCGAGGAUGCAAAAAGCUGUGCAAUAAGAGAGUAUGAGAGGAUAAAGAAAAACAACCGGAAUGAGCUUGAUAGGCUAGACAGAGAAAAGCAUGAUGAUUUUCUCAGCAUGCUGAAAGGGUUUGUAAUAAAUCAGGUUGGAUAUUCUGAAAAGAUUGCAAGUGUCUGGGCUACCGUUGCGGAAGAAACUAGUAGAUAUGCAAGAGAAAACAAUUAGCAUCGGACGGGGUCUUCCCGGAGGCACGUGAGAUGGGUGAAUGUGGUGGCGACGAUGAAAAUGGGACUCCUGGCAAGCACCAGUGGAUGCAGUCAGCAUAGCUAACAGGAUUUGCUAGCUGCUGUGGGCUGUGUGUCUCCCAAAACUUCCUGUAGAUGGAAGGAUGCCCAUCUUUCCUGUACUCUGAUAGCUGAGUAAUGUUCAGCACCACGACCUUUGUCUGCAGCCUGCCCAGAAUGCUUCCCACCAUUUGCAUGGUGUGCAUGUCAGACCCACUUCCCCAGUAACCUUCCUCGUCGAUAGGGUUCGUCUCCUGAAAGCAGUUCCCCUCGCUUCCUGGAUUCCACUCCCUGCUCCUGGAAUGAUGACAGUGUUUCAGGUUGGGAAAUUAAGAGGACAACAAGGAGAAAAGAGAUGUGUAGGUGACACGGUGACGAAGAAGACCUUCUGUGCCAAAUGGUUCACGGUGGAUGCAACCCAAUCCGCCCACGCCUCCAUGGCCAACUUCAUGGCAUCCAGUCCAUUGGCCUCUUCACAGAUCCCAUCAUCAUCAGGUUUCCACCUUCACCAGAGAGUUGAGAAGCGACUGAUGAUGACAUGCUUCACCGAUACUUCUUUAAGGAUAAUGAAGGAUGUUCUAUACUCACAAUAACUUAAUCUUUUGGCCACUCCUCCACCAUAGAUAAGAGUUGAAGACAAGAAUGUCUGCUUUCUCCCACUGACCUGCAUGCUUGCCCAGCGCAUCUGGUCUGAUGAUCCUGUCAUUUGAUCUGUGGUUCACUGGGUCAUCAGAAUUUGAUUCCACAAGCAGUGGUGCCCAGUAAAACUCUAUCGUGGCAUCGUAUUCCUAUAAAGAAUGUGUUAAGAUACAUCAAGAAAAAGAUGAGCUUGAUGCAAGUUCUAAGAUGCUUAUGGCUAUACAGAGAGGAUUCUCGAAGCAAAAUGGCAGCUUACUUCUGCCCUAAAGAUUGUUAAAGCUGCAUUUGGUGUCAUAGAUUUCUUCCCAUCUGGAAUGGCAGACUGAACCAUGCACACCAUGGAUAUCCACUGUCCUCUGUUUAGAGAAUCGCCCACAAACAUCAGUCUUUUUCCUCUCAGCUUCUCCAGCAUCUCUGUGGCAUUCCAUCUUUGGAGGAACACAAGAGUGCAGAAAAGAUUUAGUGAUCAGUGUCAGACUUGUUUACAUGCCAAGACCCAAACUUGUCUGUUUCUUCAUCUAUCAU